UUUUUUUUUUUCAGUGUAAAAAUCACUGGCCAUCUCUACAAUGAGUGAGUGAGUGUGUGUAAUGUCAGUAUGACUAUGUUGUAGUGUGUGUGUGCUUCUGUGUGUGUAUGUGUAUAAAGCAAAGGCAGAGUAUAAAGAUUAUGCACAUAUUCUGUACAUGAACGUUUCAGUUGUGUUCCCCAGCGGAGCACCAAUGCAUGAAAGGAUUUGUGACAAGGAGCUCCAGUUAUAUGUAAUUCAAUAAUAUUAUGUGGAGAGAUAACAAUUUAUUGUUUAUUUUAGGAUUUUAUUUAGAGGCCAAAAGGAACGAUUCAUUUAUUUAAAGAUCUGAUAUAAAUUUGAAUGCUGACGUUCAAAAAACAAAAACAUGGUAAAGAAAGUUUUGGAAUGCCGUCGUGAUAAAAAAAAAAAAAAAUGCAGAGGAAGUGUAUUGAAAUUGGUUUAAGAGAAAUGAAUAGAAGUGUUGAACAUCUCAUCAAUGUUGGGCAGAUCCCUAGUAAAUCUUUUCAAUACUAAAGCUAAGCCUUUCCGUCACCACCACAAAGAGAAACUGUUAGUACCAAUUGUAAAGCUCACUCACCAAGCGUUUUGUUCAUUUCUCGCAAUAAUAUUUCGGAAUUACAGGAUUUUCGGGGGCGUUUUCAAAUGAGAUCUUGAACCACAAUAGUAAUUUACGAUAAUGCUAUGAGGUAGGCAGGAUACCUUGUACUUCCUGAAACUGUUGGGUUGUCUUCCACAUUAUUUAUCCUUCACCUCUUUUUCUUGCGCGUAUGCUUGAUGAAAAACUGCACCGCAGACUCCAUGUGCUUGGGCCCGUCAUCAGGGCCUGCCAGUCUGAUUAAGACUGGCAGAAACAGAUGACCGACUCAUGAUUAUUUGCCUUCAGUUCUUGAAUGGAUUCUGUUCUGGUCUGCUCUGAUUAGUUUCCCCCUCGCCAAACACGAAAGAUGUAAAAUAUGCAAAACAGUAGCAUGUUUGAUGGGUUAAGAAGCCAGUACAGGAUGUUCUUUUAACCAAACUCUCUAUCUAGACUAGUUUCAGUGCUUAUAUACUGCACUAUGGGAAACGGUACUGCAUAUAUUCUGCACAGUACUCCUCUGUUUGUGGUUUUGUUUCAUUGCUAAUUUGACAGUUACAAGAGCUCCAUGUAAUAUAACACGCUAAAGCGAUUUAUCCUUUUUCUUAAACGACAGAUCUUGAUGUAUAUGAACCCUGUUCCUUAAAGUUCCUAACUUACAGAGUCGUUUGGGAACUAAACGUAGCUGCUUUUGUCACAUUCAACAUGUCUGAUGGUAUAUUCUAUCAUAACUGGAUUUUAGUGUGUGUAUGUUUGUACGUAUGACUGUAUUUGGUGCUAUUGUCAUUGUUUUUUAAUCGAAGCAGUUUCAGAACAUAACUUGCAUGAUUUUGGUUCAAUAACUCUGUGCCAAUGGUCGCUCUCUAUCUCAGACUCUCUCUCUCUCUCUCUUUCCUCCACUCCUCUCUGUGAUAGUUUUCCUGAGUUUUGAAGUUACUCUUUUUAUAGUAAGAAUCAAGCAAAAAAAAAAAAAGUUUUUUUUCUUUCCAAGCAGUCUUCUCAUCACAUCACAAAUCACUGACGUGCAAAAGCGAAAUGUCUGCUGAGUGCUGUACUUAUAUUGAGAGAAGCAAGAUACAUUUCAAGACUUUUUUUUCUUGUUCUUUUUGUUUUGUUUUGGAAAGCAUUGAGAUGUAUUUAAUGGUGAAGACAAAAAACAGCGAUUAAAUAAUGCAUUCUUGUAGAAAUAUUUUUAAAAAAACCCUUUUGCAAUUAAAUUAUUUAAGAAAUACCUGCGUUUGCUGUCUGAUUUUUUUUUUUUACGGCUGUUGUGUAUCAACAUGUUCAGUUUCAGUUGUCAAUUGUCAAUUGUUGUCCUUUCUCAGACAUGUUGGGGCCACACAUGCUUGCUUAAUUGAAAAGCCUGAGGAUUUUUA
Molecule: long non-coding RNA, 1953 nt
Organism: Cyprinus carpio carpio
Lineage: Eukaryota; Metazoa; Chordata; Actinopteri; Cypriniformes; Cyprinidae
Source: Ensembl